This is a microRNA precursor of Oryza sativa Japonica Group (Japanese rice), 210 nucleotides long. It matches the Rfam family "MIR812 microRNA precursor family". The record is from Rfam. Lineage: Eukaryota; Viridiplantae; Streptophyta; Magnoliopsida; Poales; Poaceae.
UCUGUGUGAAAUGUCCCUAAGUUUCCGUGUCUAAAGUUUAACUGUCCGUCUUAUAUGAAUUUUUUUAUAAUUAGUAUUUUUAUUGUUGUUAGAUGAUAAAACAUGAUUAAUACUUUAUGCGUGACUUAUCUUUUUAAUUUUUUUUCAUAAUUUUUCUAAAUAAGACAGAUGAUCAAACGUUGGAUACGAAAACCCAGGGUUUGCCUUUUU